Molecule: long non-coding RNA, 3340 nt
Filed under: Homo sapiens (human)
Lineage: Eukaryota; Metazoa; Chordata; Mammalia; Primates; Hominidae
Description: non-protein coding lnc-CNTLN-1:6
Source: RNAcentral
AACUGGACCUCUCCUGGGACAGCAUGUGCUCUGCAUGGAAUAACAAGGUUAAAUGGACAAGGCUGAAUGGCCCUGUGAUGGGGAGUGCCUUUAAGCCACAUGACGGAAAUGAAACAGGAGCCAUAAUGACCAUGACUGGAGGAGAAUCAGAUUCUGGCCUGGCCUGGUUCUGUGAGAUACCUUAAAUCAUACUUUCUGUAGCAUCCCUUAAAGUUUAGAGAAAAGCUGAAUCACUCAGCCCAGAGGAAGCCUGAGGAGGCAUAAAGAAGUCUUGGAAAUCCCCUGAAAAAAAGAAUCAGCUGUAGGCUAACCCAAGAAGAAUAAAGCAUCGGCUUCCCUGACAUGCUGCUCCCCCCAAAACAGAGUGCCAAUAUGAUUCCAAGGUUCUUAGCACACUGUAUAUUACCUCACUCCUCCUACAGUGGUCUGGAACUGAACUUGCAAUUUCUCCAAGAUAUGUCGGUAUCUCUCUCCAUGCUGUGCUGCGUGGGCUUUGGGAGCGGUGAUGUGGACCAUUUGAAAUUGUCCUUGCUACCUCUUUAAUGCAUAUUUUUAUAUUUCUAUGCUCCACCCAAGUGCUGUAGUCUCUCAACUGCCUUCUUUUUGUUCUUCAGCUUUUAUGAAGCUAUUUUCAAGUGUGAGUAGUUGUCCAAAUUCAUGUUUCUUGAGGGAACAAGUGACUUGUUUGUAAGUUGACUUGUAUAUCUUUUUAUAGCUGAGAUUUUAUCCUGUGAUCUUACUAACUCAGGAAUUUUUUGGAGAUUCUUUGCAGUUUUCUAAGUAGAAUAACCAUAUUAUAUUUAUUAUUAUUUUCCUUCUUACUUUGGUUUUAAUUUGCUCUUUUUUUACAUGUUUUCUGAGUUAGAAACUUAGGUUAUUGAUUUGAUACCCUUAUUCCUUUAUAACAUAUGCAUUUGAUUGUGUAAGUUUUUCUCUAAGCACUGCUUUAGUGCAUCCCACAAAUUUUGAUCUGUUGUAUAUUUUUUAUUUACUUUAAUAUAUCUUCUAAUUUUCUUUUGACUUUAUCUUUGACCAAUGAAAUAUUCAGAAAUGUGUAAUUUCUAAAUAUUUGGGAGAUUUUCUAAAUAUUUCUCUGUUACUGCUUUCUAGUUCAACUCCACUAUGGUUAGAGAACACACUUUGAAUGUUUUAAAUCUGUUAAGAUUUGUUUUAUGACUUAAGACACAGUUGGUAUUUGUGAAUGUUUCAUGUGCACUUGAAAACAAUGUUUAUUCUGCUUUCAUUGGGUCAGGUGGUCUAAAAAUGGCAUUUAAGUUAAUUUGGUUGAUAGUGAUUUUCAGGUAUUAUAUAUCCUUCCUGAUUCCUGCCUAGUUGUUCUAAUGAUUACUGACAGAAGACUGUUGAAAUCUCCAAUUACACUAUUAUUUUUGUAUUUCUACCUUUACCUCUAUAAUUUUUGCUUUAGUAUUGUCACAAUAUUUUGUUGGGUGCAUACCAAUUUAGUAUAGCUAUGUAUUUUUGGUAGAUUGGCACUUUUAACCAUUAUACAAUGUCCCUCUUGGUCCUUGGUAACUUUCCUUCAUUGGAAUUCUACUUUUUUUGAUAUUAAUAUGACAAUUCUAGCAUUCUUUUGGUUAGUAUUUGCAUGGUAUGUCCUUUUCUAUUAUUUAGCUUUUAGCCAAGCUGAGUGUUUUUAUUUAAAAUGGGUUUCCUGCGACUAAAAAUCAUUCUAAUCUUAUUAGAUUAUCUAAUAACCUAAUUAUCUCUCUAUUGGCUGAACUUAGUCAUGGGAUAGAACCUACUUUCAGGGAAGGUUGCAUAAUACAGUCCUUUAUCUGGCCAUAUUGCCUGCACACUUAAAUGUAACCAUGCACCUGUAUAUACACACAUUCACAUAUAUCUGUGUUUUGUUUCUAAAGAAAAGGUGAGAGUGGGUGUUUGUAUAAGCAUCUAGCUAUUUCUGCUUUCAUAUGCUUUUGGUAUUUGUAAACUGUCUUUACCUGUAAAAUAAGGACAUUUCUAACCAUUAUUUCACUUCUAGAAUAAUUAAUUUAUCUGAUCAUUUUAUAUAACAUUUUAAGUGUCUUGUUAAUUUUUUUGUUGAAGUUAUUCAAUAUGUAUUGAAUAUAAAAACACAUCAUUCCUAGUAAAUUAUAGGGAGAUAAUUUUGUCUUUGUUUAAAAAAAUAAGCUUGCUUUCUCAAGGGGGGCUUAAUAUUUCAAAUUUCAUAGCAGCCAUUUAUUGUCAGCAACUUAAAGACUGUUUCUGUUUUAAGAAUACAUUUUUCUUCGAAAUAAAGUCAGAAAUUGGAGCAUCAGCCAUCUUACAUAUCUCCCCAUGCAGUAUAAAUUAAUUUCCAGACUUUCGGGGACAAACUUUCAUCCUAGAAAACCGGAGUGUCAGCAGUGAGCUAGGGAGAGCAGUGGGCUGUUACAUGACACCACUGUUCAAAGUGUCAGGUCACAUGUAGCACUUUAUGAGUUCCCCCUUUCCUGACUGAAACAAACUAUUUUAAUACAUUUCUAAAAAACCAAAAAAUACAAAAUACUCUUUUAAUACAACAUGCAUAUAUGUUUACUAUGACUAAAUAUAUUAUGCCUCUUCCUGUCAAACAGCAUCCAAUGUGGUGAAAUGAAAAACAAUAAAUCUGGGCUGGGUGUGGUGACUCAUGCCUGUAAUCCCAGCACUUUGGGAGGCUGAGGCGGGUGGAUCACCUGAGGUUGGGAGUUUGAGACCAGCCUGACCAAUGGGGAGAAACCCCGUCUCUACUAAAAAUACAAAAUUAGCUGGGCGUGGUGGCGCAUGCCUGUAAUCCCAGCUACUCGGGAGGUUGAGGCAGGAGAACUGCCUGAACCCGGGAGGUGGAGGUUGCAGGGAGCCAAGAUGGCACCAUUGCACUCCAGCCUGGGCAACAAGAGUGAAACCCCGUCUCAAAAAAAUAAAAACAAAAAUAAAAACAAAAACAGUAAAUAUUAUAUAUCAGCAUUUGUGAUAUUUAUUCCUUCUGUUUAGUUAUUUGCCUCUAGAUUGAAGCAUUCAAAACAGAAAAUUAUAUUCAGAGUAAAAACUCUUAGCUGGAUAAUGGAACCUAUCAUUUUAAGUUUUUCCUAUAUUUCCUAAAAAUACCUAUAUUAGGUAUAUUUUUUCCAAUAUUACUCCUUAUCUUUACCUUAGUUCCCUUUCAUUUUUGAUUGUCAUUGUGCUCUCAGCUACACCUGAAAAUUUCUCUGAUUUUUCCCAAGUUGGGAAAUUAAUCCACUUUAAAUUCCAUUAAAGUUUGAAACUCUUUUUCCAUUGUCUUGUGGUUUUAUUUGUACAUUUUAAUUUACUGUAAUUUUAAAAUGUCUCUUUCUAGUUUUGACAAAUGUCAUACUUUUCC